Weissella koreensis KACC 15510 is the source of this 87-nucleotide non-coding RNA. NCBI's taxonomy places the organism in Bacteria, Bacillati, Bacillota, Bacilli, Lactobacillales, Lactobacillaceae. The record is from Rfam.
UAUAAAUACGCUCCUUUGGGCGUGUUGUUGGAUAAGUAUAAAGAAAAACUUUUAGUCGGGAAUUUCUUUAUGCUUUUUAUUAUAACC